Malaya genurostris is the source of this 1802-nucleotide long non-coding RNA. RefSeq lists it as uncharacterized. NCBI's taxonomy places the organism in Eukaryota, Metazoa, Arthropoda, Insecta, Diptera, Culicidae. The record is from RefSeq and is a predicted model, not a curated record. The transcript has 5 exons.
GUUGUUGAUCCCUGUUAUGAAUUUGAAAAGCCUCUCGGCCAAUGUUGCCAAGCCAAACCAAAAAAAAUUGCUUGUAAUUGCAUUUGAAGAAUCCAACGCAAAAUGACCACCCGCGUCGCUGCUGUAGUGAUGACUGAUGAAAAUUUCAAAAGUUAGGAAGAUUGAAACGUGGAAAAAAAUCGAUCCACUUCAAAAUGGAUAUUGAACCGAGGCGGUUUUGUAUCGUGCCGAGAUGUCAUUCUACUGGAAAUAAGUUGUUUCGAGUUCCCAAGCCCUGUAGUAAAGUAUUUAAACGAUGGCAAAAAAAUCUGACAAUAACAGGUUAUGGUGAUGAAUUUAUUUGUGAAAAACAUUUCAAGUCCGAUGAUUUUGUCGAAAAUACGAGGAGAAAAUUGAAACUAUCCGCAAUGCCUACAUUAAAGCUGCCUUCCGCUUCUAAAAAGAUAACGGUACAGCCAGGAUGUUGCAUAACAGAUUGUACUUCCAAGCGUGUCGGGUGUAUGGAAAAAUUUCCUCAGAAAAAGACAUCGUCGUUCCGGAAAUGGUUAACACUUCUAGGAAUCACAUCGGAAGAAGUAUUGAAAAAUUCUAUAUAUAUUUGUCGGAAGCAUUUUUCAUUGACUGAUUACGUAACUGUACGAUAUCGUUAUUUGAAGAUAAACGCUAUUUCCACUAAAAAUUUGUGAGAGAUAUUAAGACACCAUCUUUGUACCGAAGGGAAGUUCGAUAUAUGCCUACAACAAUACAAAUAGAUCAUAAUUAUUGUAAGGAAGAUUUAAAACCUAGAAGCAAUCGUUUCUGUUCUGUACCAGGAUGUACAGUGAAAAGCUCAAAAGGAAUCUUUCUACACAAAUUUCCGGAAAACGAAAAAUUUUCAAAAGCCUGGACAGUUGCUAUCAAAGCAAUGCAUCAUCCUACCAAAAAUUCUUAUGUUUGCAACCAGCACUUUCACACGAGUGAUUAUAUUCCAGGUAUUACAUUUCGAAAUAAAAACAUUGAAUUAACUAAUUCAGUCAUCCUAUAGGACGUAAGAUACUAAAGAAUUCAGCUGUACCCAGUUGCAAAUUACCUUUAACCUCAUUAGAAAAAAACAAAGGGGAAUUAUUGUGUUUUUGAAGAGAAAUCAGUUAGCGCAAAAGAGGCUGAAGCGUUGAAAAUUUUAUCAGCGCUUCCAUUUAGUAUCCAUAGAUUAAACAGUCUGCGUGUUGAAGGAAACAAAAACGAGGGCAAUAUAUCGGCCGAUGUCAAUAAAGCCAUUCAAGAACUGCAACGUAAGAGAGAAACCAUUCUUAGUGACUUGUUACUAACAGACAAAGAUAUAAAUAUUUGGACGGGGAUACCAUCGUUGUGUUUAUUGGAAGUCGUAUGUACAACGGUCAGUAAUGUUGAAGAAAAUGUUUACAACGGAAAAUUCAAAAUGCAUGCCACUGAUCGGGUUAUUCUUACACUGUCUAAGUUGAAGCAAAAUAUAUCCUUUGCGGCUUUAGCAACUCUUUUCCGUAUUUCUCAAUCAACAGCAUCAGAUUACUUUUCACACACAAUCCAGAUACUAUCAGAAGUUUUCAAUUCUAUUAUCUAUUGGCCGACAAUGGAAGAGAUUCGUCGGAACAUGCCACAUUGCUUCAAAGAAAAGUUUCGCAACGUUCGGUGUAUACUGGAUUGCACUGAGGUGGGUAUUGGAUGCCCUAACUGUCUUAACUGUAGAAUCGCCUGUUAUUCGAAUUAUAAACAUAAGCGUACCGCAAAAAUUCUCAUAGGAAUUACACCAGCUGGAAUGAUAAGUUUCUGUUGUCGUGCAUAUU